GAUGAACGCUGGCGGCGUGCUUAAUACAUGCAAGUCGAACGGUGGAGCAGAGCUUGUUCUGUGGUUCUGUGGCCAACGGGUGGGUAACACAUGCGCAACUAGCCCAUGUCUAUGGGUUAAGCGCUGGAAACGGAGCCUAACUAAGGCCAUGAGCUGCGUUCGACUGGAUAGUUGAUGGAAAGAUUGUUCGGUUUGAGUUGGGCUUACGGCCUAUCACCUUGUUGGUGAGGGAAUGGAACACCAAGGCGUCGACGGGUAGCCGGCCUGAGAGGGUGACCGGCCACACGGGUCCUGAGACACGGCGCAGACGCCUACGGGAGGCAGCAGUGGGGAAUAUUGCGCAACGGGCGAAAGCCAGAUGCAGCGGCGCCGCGUUAGUGAAGACCGCCUUCGAGUUGUAAACCUAUUUGAACAGGGAUGAAGCGAUAGUGACGGUACCUGCAGAGAAAGCGCCGGCUAACUACGUG
This 467-nucleotide ribosomal RNA is filed under the name uncultured bacterium. Its description in RNAcentral is "partial 16S ribosomal RNA". It matches the Rfam family "Bacterial small subunit ribosomal RNA", at positions 28 to 507 of the family's 1533-position model. The record is from RNAcentral.